GGCAGCACGGGUGCUUGCACUGGUGGCGAGUGGCGAACGGGUGAGUAAUACAUCGGAACAUGUCCUGUAGUGGGGGAUAGCCCGGCGAAAGCCGGAUUAAUACCGCAUACGAUCUAGGGAUGAAAGCGGGGGACCUUCGGGCCUCGCGCUAUAGGGUUGGCCGAUGGCUGAUAGCUAGUUGGUGGGGUAAAGGCCUACCAGGCGACGAUCAGUAGCUGGUCUGAGAGGACGACCAGCCACACUGGGACUGAGACACGGCCCAGACUCUACGGGAGGCAGCAGUGGGGAAUUUUGGACAAUGGGCGAAAGCCUGAUCCAGCAAUGCCGCGUGUGUGAAGAAGGCCUUCGGGUUGUAAAGCACUUUUGUCCGGAAAGAAAUCCUUGGCUCUAAUACAGUCGGGGGAUGACGGUACCGGAAGAAUAAGCACCGGCUAACUACGUGCCAGCAGCCGCGGUAAUACGUAGGGUGCAAGCGUUAAUCGGAAUUACUGGGCGUAAAGCGUGCGCAGGCGGUUUGCUAAGACCGAUGUGAAAUCCCCGGGCUCAACCUGGGAACUGCAUUGGUGACUGGCAGGCUAGAGUAUGGCAGAGGGGGGUAGAAUUCCACGUGUAGCAGUGAAAUGCGUAGAGAUGUGGAGGAAUACCGAUGGCGAAGGCAGCCCCCUGGGCCAAUACUGACGCUCAUGCACGAAAGCGUGGGGAGCAAACAGGAUUAGAUACCCUGGUAGUCCACGCCCUAAACGAUGUCAACUAGUUGUUGGGGAUUCAUUUCCUUAGUAACGUAGCUAACGCGUGAAGUUGACCGCCUGGGGAGUACGGUCGCAAGAUUAAAACUCAAAGGAAUUGACGGGGACCCGCACAAGCGGUGGAUGAUGUGGAUUAAUUCGAUGCAACGCGAAAAACCUUACCUACCCUUGACAUGGUCGGAAUCCUGAAGAGAUUCGGGAGUGCUCGAAAGAGAACCGGCGCACAGGU
Molecule: ribosomal RNA, 975 nt
Filed under: Burkholderia vietnamiensis
Lineage: Bacteria; Pseudomonadati; Pseudomonadota; Betaproteobacteria; Burkholderiales; Burkholderiaceae
Description: bacterial SSU rRNA
Rfam family: Bacterial small subunit ribosomal RNA
Source: RNAcentral